ACUAAUGUUUUGACUCUUUAAAGGAAGAAAGCUGAGAGCGUGCACUGCAUAUUUAAGAAUCGUUGGAUGUUUACCACACACUCCAGUGGGACAAAUAUUAAUCAAGCAAUCAAGAAAGGACCCUGAAACAUGAGAGAAGAAUAGAACUUGACAUGUGAUCGUUCAAUAUAAUUGAAUAGUCAAGAUUCCUACAAAGAUAUAGUCACACAGACAGUAUUCUAAAAAUAUUGUGUAAAGAGAAUCAUGUCUUCAAAGAGGGAAUUGCAUGGUGGUUUUCAUACUGAUGUGCUGUGGCAAGAAUAAAGUAAGAACUGAGGGAGGAGGAGAACAGGCAGGAAGAAGAGAACAACUGGAAGUUCCUGAAGUCAAGAUAAAAUACACCAUGUACUCCAGCAUCCAAGGACUGUAUCCACGUGGCCCAUGUACCCAGGGUCAUGGACACUUACUUUCUGAGGUUCUCCUAAGCAACCACUAUUAGAACGCACACAAGAUUUGGGAAUCAAUUGUCUGUGGAAGAGUAAAAUAUCUUUCCUCAACCUGCAUUGGAACGUGUGAGAAGUGGAGGUGAGUAUGGAAAAUAUACGGGCCAGAGAGAAAAUGAAGCAGAUUGAGU
Molecule: small RNA, 613 nt
Filed under: Rattus norvegicus (Norway rat)
Lineage: Eukaryota; Metazoa; Chordata; Mammalia; Rodentia; Muridae
Description: uncharacterized LOC102554215
Source: RNAcentral